AAAAGCUAAUCGAACCCGGAGAUAGCUGGUUCUCCUCGAAAGCUAUUUAGGUAGCGCCUCAUAUGUAUCCUCUCGGGGGUAGAGCACUGUUAUGGCUAGGGGGUCAUCGCGACUUACCAAACCAUUGCAAACUCCGAAUACCGAGACGGACUGUAUGGGAGACACACGGCGGGUGCUAACGUCCGUCGUGAAAAAGGGAAACAACCCAGACCCACAGCUAAGGUCCCAAAUUUUUGUGCUAAGUGGAAAAACCAUGUGGAAAGGCACAGACAGCCAGGAGGUUGGCUUAGAAGCAGCCACCCUUUAAAGAAAGCGUAAUAGCUCACUGGUCGAGUCGGUCUGCGGGGAAGAUUUAACGGGGCUAAGCACAGAACCGAAGCUUGGGGUGCAUAACUUUGUUAUGCGCGGUAGAGGAGCGUUCCGUAAGCCGUUGAAGGUGGAUUGAGAAGUCUGCUGGAGGUAUCGGAAGUGCGAAUGCUGACAUGAGUAACGAUAAUGCGGGUGAAAAACCCGCACGCCGAAAGCCCAAGGUUUCCUUGCGCAACGUUAAUCGGCGCAGGGUGAGUCGGCCCCUAAGGCGAGGACGAAAGUCGUAGUCGAUGGGAAGCAGGUUAAUAUUCCUGCACCUCGCGUAAGUGCGAUGGAGGGACGGAGAAGGUUAGGUGUACCAGGCGUUGGUUGUCCUGGGGAAAGGCGGUAGGUUUGGAUCUUUGGCAAAUCCGGGAUCCU
This 729-nucleotide ribosomal RNA is filed under the name Stenotrophomonas maltophilia. Its description in RNAcentral is "bacterial LSU rRNA". It matches the Rfam family "Bacterial large subunit ribosomal RNA", at positions 824 to 1551 of the family's 2925-position model. Lineage: Bacteria; Pseudomonadati; Pseudomonadota; Gammaproteobacteria; Lysobacterales; Lysobacteraceae. The record is from RNAcentral.